RNAcentral lists this long non-coding RNA (220 nucleotides) under Elaeis guineensis (African oil palm). RNAcentral's name for it is "long non-coding RNA (EGUI_LNC063177)". The record is from RNAcentral. Lineage: Eukaryota; Viridiplantae; Streptophyta; Magnoliopsida; Arecales; Arecaceae.
GCAAAUUCCUCCUGACGGUGGGCAGCCCACUACGAGACGGUUAUGAACGUCACCAUCAGUCUGUUGAGCCCACCGCCUAUAUAAGGGGGACCUCAGAUAUGUUAUUCUAUAAGCUCUCAUUCUUUUACCUCAAAACUCUGCUAAAUUCUUCGUUCGAACACUCCAUUUUUAUUGAGGCAGAGAACUGACUUGAGCGUCGGAGGGUCUUGCCGGAGCAACC